Non-coding RNA from Deltaproteobacteria bacterium, 183 nucleotides. Lineage: Bacteria; Pseudomonadati; Myxococcota; Myxococcia. The record is from Rfam.
UCUCCCCUGCGAUGUUCGUGAUUAUAGGGAUAUUCAGAACCAACACUAUUAAAUAAGGGAACCUUCCCUGACUGUCCGCCGACGGAUUCCCACAUAGAGGAAGGGUCGAACGCAGUUAUAAAGGUACCCACCUAUUUAUUAGGUUCGAAUACCCUAUCAACACGGCAUGAAGGCGGGGGAGAA